UGCCAUUCAAUGAUUUGGAGAGAAAGGUUUCUUGCCCAUUGUGCAGUGAACUCUUUACGGAAGAUGACAUCUGUACACAUGCAAGUGUCUGUGGAGAAGGCAUGCCAAAUGAGGAAUAUAUUUCCACAAGGCACACCACUAAGCACUUCAGCAGCUUAUCAGCUGUUCUGCAGGCUUUACAAGACAAAAUUGACACUAUACAGACCUUCAUCAUUAAUGUGACACGUAA
Long non-coding RNA from Fundulus heteroclitus (mummichog), 229 nucleotides. RefSeq lists it as uncharacterized. The record is from RefSeq and is a predicted model, not a curated record. NCBI's taxonomy places the organism in Eukaryota, Metazoa, Chordata, Actinopteri, Cyprinodontiformes, Fundulidae. The transcript has 4 exons.